GUCGUAACAAGGUUUCCGUAGGUGAACCUGCGGAAGGAUCAUUACCACACCUAAAGUCUACCGGCCUCGGCUAGUAGCAAUAAAACAAACGGAGAGACUGGGUAAAACCGGACUCGAAGUUUGUCGUCCCGCGGACCUAUAAUUUUAAUGGCGUCUCUCGAGAUGCCCAAAGCUGAUACCCGUCUUUGUUGGGCGCUGCAUGGCGUUCCAACAGGAUACUGAACCAUGAGUACUCAUAAUUCGGCGUUGCGCACUUCGGUGCAAUACCUCGGUUACGAAACAAUGUCAAAACACUUUCAGCAAUGGAUGUCUUGGCUCCCA
RNAcentral lists this unclassified non-coding RNA (321 nucleotides) under fungal sp. Its description in RNAcentral is "partial internal transcribed spacer region". The stretch from base 1 to 44 matches the Rfam family "Eukaryotic small subunit ribosomal RNA", at positions 1788 to 1831 of the family's 1831-position model. Lineage: Eukaryota; Fungi. The record is from RNAcentral.